RNAcentral lists this long non-coding RNA (6094 nucleotides) under Xyrichtys novacula (pearly razorfish). Lineage: Eukaryota; Metazoa; Chordata; Actinopteri; Labriformes; Labridae. The record is from RNAcentral.
CAGAGGAGAUUACAUGUAAAUAAGGAAAGGAGAGCGUGGAGCUUCACUGACGCCGAGAGGGAAAUCCUCCUCCACGCUGGGGUCAGAGGUCAGGGGCGCAGAGCCGCAUUCCUGGAGCUGAUAGGGAUUGAGAUUUCUCAAGGAUAGAGGCGUGCGGAGGAAGAGGACUCUCCUGGUUAAUGAUUGAGUGAUGGUCACAGUGGUGAUGGUCUGUGGUCGACUCGUGUGGUUGAAUCAGUCCUCGCCAUGCGACAAGUGUCUGAAUCUAAACAGAAGAAAAAGGUUAAAAUGGACUUAAGUGAGGAGACGUUAGAUUAGAUUAGAUUAGAUUAGAUUAGAUCAGAUUAGAUUAGAUUAGAUUAGAUUGAGACUGUAGACGAAGGACAGGAAAUGAUCCCAGAACCAUCCAGAACAUCCCCCAUCAAACUUUUUACUAUAUUAACGAUUUAAAGUUUUUCAUCUCCAACAUGUUUUGGUUUUUUAACUUCUGGAGGAAAAUUUUUACCGCAUCCGAAACAGCAUCGAUUUUCGCCGUCCGCCAAUCCCCACUGGAUCGGUCUGUGAAGCGAAUUUCGAGGCGGAUUACAGACAGCAGGAAUCGUGAGAACUCACAAGAACCUGCAGAUUCACGUUCAAUCUCACGAUAACAAGUUGUCUCUCUAAAGACAGACACAUAGACAUAUAAGCAGUAGAUGGUGUCCUUCCAGAGGAGGAAAUCUACUUCUAGACUUCUAGAAUCAGCAUCUCCUCAUCCAUGGUGUCAUCGGGGUGAAAUGACGUCUAAAAACCUUUCACUUGUUCGUCUCCGCCCGUUUGCAUGGUGUGAAAUACGAUCCUCCUGAAACACGGAGUGUUUUAUUUUGAAAAGAAGCCGGAUGUUUUAUUUUGUGUCUGUGCCCGACUUCCUUUCCAGCACGGGUUAAUCUGUGCUGAAUUUAUCCGCCAUGCUCCGGCGUCCGAUGGAAAGAAGUCGGUGUAAAUUGACACGUUAACUUGAAUGGUUACGAUCAGCUACGAUCGGAGGAUACGACCUUUUAGGAGACGAUCAGGAUGAAGGUGGAGGUCGGGGGUCAGGGUUGUUUUCAUGGUCUGGUUUUCUGCUCGGCUCUCUCCUGAUAUUUGGAGAAUCAAAAACGUUAAACAGGCUGAAGAACGAAGCGACACCUCGGUUUGACGAAUGACUGAGAGGAUCGAUUAGUUAUGAAUUCAGUUAUUGAUGAAUUCUCCGUUUAUUGAUUCGGUCAAUAAUAGUUUCUCUUGAAUCCUGAACCUUUGAGGGAAUCAGUUUUUCUGUUGAGAUAAUGAUCCUCGUCAUGAACUGAAGACCUCAGUGGUUUACCGUCUUCAGCCCCAUGAGGGAAAUCUGGGCGAUGACACCGAGAAGGUUAACCUGGAUGAGUGAAUAGAACUAGAGUGAAUAGAUGCUGACUAACAGCGUUAACUCUGCGCUCAGCUGUGGUCGACACGUUGAUUUAGAGCCUGAGAGCUGGUUCUGCAGUCAGCUGCAGCAGAACACGGCCUGCAGAGCCGUGUUUGCCCAGUCACGGUUUGCAUGUCGUUGGCAGUGUUCCCAGCAGCAGCCUCCUCCUCCUCCUCCUCCUCCUCCUCCUCCUCCUCCUCCUCCUCCUCGGUCUCGGGGAGUGGAUGGUGGACGGAGAGAGGAGCAGACAAAGCAGCAGUGUGACACAGCAGCUCUCAUGUUCCAGCCUCACUGAUUUACACGUGGAGAGACCUCCUCUCUGAACGCUGCUCCUGCUCCUCCUCCUCCUCCUCGCUCCUCCUCCUCCUCCUCGCUGCCUCUCCAUAUGCAUCAACACUCGGCGCCUGCAAAUGAGUCAGUCUGCUGUUUAGAGAUUCUCUGUUUGUUCUGGGCUGUUGGGAUGUCAGGACGGCACAGUUCUGUUGAUGCACCUGCCACUUUAGUUUGUGUUCACAUCCGUGAAGCAUAUGGCGUUUGGAUUUCGCUCGCAGCUCUUUGUUGAUGCUUUCCGUGGCGUUGGCUGUCAGCAUCAGAUAAUAAUAAACCCAUUUGAGUGCGGCGCCGUUUUUGUAAGAAUUCUCAACCUUUCCUUUUUUUUUUGUGAGGGAUGAGCUGAAGGCUAAAACUAAUCUGCGCCGUCUGAGCCGAAGGGCCGCCACCCCGCCACAACGCCAAGAAAAAGAGGCUGUUAGUGGAGAGACGGGUCGGUCUGCGAGCGGCGGCCUUGGUCUGUAAUUACGCUCACAGGUGGGCGCGUCGCUCUGAUGUCAUUGAUUUCCUGAAGCAGGUUUCUUGGUUGUAAAAGCGCUCUCUGAAAUCUUCUGAACCCCUGCGAUGUUGGCGCCGUGUUCCCGCGCUCGCCCGGCUCUCGUGUCUGAGUGAAUUCUGAGGAUGCUGUCCUUCGCCGGCGCUGAAAGCAACCUUUUGUGAAGUCCUGGUUCCCCUCAGACGUGGCGUGCCGUGCGGGACCUUGACCGAAGGCUCGGGGGCUUGUUGGUUGUUCUGGCGGUGAAAGCGCUGCACUUACUGUUUACAAAGCAUGACCCCUUUUCUUGGCGGACCUUUUAGUCGGGAUCUUGAAAUGUUUGAACCGUGAAAGCUUCCUCUCUGUGCGUGACGUGAACGUCUUCAAAAGAAAUCAAUUUAGCGUGUUGAAAAGAUGGCCUCUGGUUUCUGCAGAGGGAGGAGAUAAAACCACCAUGAGCGGUUCCUGGAUUCACUUUAGACCGCCUUUUCUGGAGCAGGAGACGAUGGGUCCUUUGGGUUCUCUGUUUGUGCUAAAAUCCAUCAGGAGGGUCCUGGUCCUGGAGAUCCAGAUGUUGAAGUGGUCAGAGUAGAUAACCUGAGCUAAAGCUGCACCAUAUUAGAAAAAAAACUAACAUUGUGAUUUUUUUCAACCCUGUGAUGUUAAAAAAUCGAUGAAUUUUCCUCCUCAGAUGACCUGAAUCUGAGUUUCUGCUGAAGUCUUGAGGACAGUUAACCUGCUCUGAUCUUCCCUCUCUUAGUGAAUGUUAGUAGACUGUCUUCUGUCUGUCUCAGAGAUAAUUUUAGUUUUUAUUGUUCUGGACGUUAUUGUGGAAACAGAUGAACACAGAACAGAUGUUUUAGUCGACAUCAUCCUUCUUAUAACUGAAAUAAUUCCAGAUAACUGAAACAAGUCUUCAUCUUCGGUGGUUUUCUCUUGUUUGUUUCUCAUUUUACAAUCGUUGUUGUUGUGCUGAGAAAGGUAUGCCCCCCUAGAAUUGCAUCCACCUCACAGAAACACCUCUUAUAUUAGGGUGGUCCACAGAAAGUAUGAUUUCAAACCCGUACAGUUCCUAUUUGUGGGAUAAACAGUGAUGAGGAAUGUUCACAAAGUCAUUCUCGGCGUUUCUCGGAACAACACCGGCAGCGUCAGCGACUCACUCCAUGUGCAGGGGCGUGGUUUCCUCCUCUCUGAUUUUGAUUGACGGCUGGCAGGGUAGCAACUGAGUAAAGAAUGAAUGUGAUUGGUGGAUCGCUGCACAGCACAUAUAGAGUCACAUAUAGUGUAUGUCAGCAACACUUGAAACUAGACGAGUUCAUUCACCUCCGACAUCGCAGGCUCUGACAUGUGACUAUCGCGCACAAAUACAUCGCCAUGACGACGAUCAAACGAUAUAUCAUGCAGCCCGUACCUGAACCUUCAUCACGUCUGCAGACGUCGGCGCCUCAUUUUGGCACAUGCUCAGUUCGUGUUUCCUGUAUUUGAUGUGUUUUUGUCGUUUGACUUCAGAGUCGGUGAGAGUUUUGGUUUGGACAGUUGGACUCGGUUCUGAUGGGAAAUCCUGUGUGUGCCGGGCGGGUGUUAGUCCAGACCUCACAGCAGGACUCCUUCGUCACUCACCGUACAUCGUGAACAACAUCAGUGCUGUCGGCUUCACCUGUUAAAGUGCUAUGGUUGGGUGGAGCUGCUGUCUGCUACCACUUUGCAGUUGGUUGAUACUUGGUUCUAAUUCAGAACAUGAUUGGUUCAGACCCGGAGACACUCCCCUUUUCAUUGGCUGUUAGUAUAGUCGACCAAAACAUGUCAGAAUGACGACUAUUGAAAAGAAUAUUGACCAUGUUUUAUAUUGAUAUUGAGGGAAAUUAAGUAUGGCUCUCUUGUCUCAGUUACAGCGUUAGUUUGUCUCACUUCCUUCAUUUAUAAAUGGACUCGUUUAUCGUCCUGCUGCUCGUCCGUCCUCCAGCUCUGAGACAGUGCAGCAGCAGAAAGUUCUCAGCUCCUCUGGUCUCCAGAAUUAGUCGUUUGCUUGUUAAAAACCUGAAAUCCGUUUAAACGUGUUUGUAAUAAGAGUAAGUCAGGGCGGUACCAUGGCAACAUGACAUCCUGCUGAGCAAAGGUGUCCGAGUCAGUCCUGACUGUGUGUGUGUGUGUGUGUGUGUGUGUGUGUGUGUGUGUGUGUGUGUGUGUGUGGACACUCCUGCAGCUGAAGUCGACUGUCGACCAGUUUUUUACUCUGCCGUGGAAACUCAGAGUGUGUCUUUCCCACACACCUGAACACGUCUGUGAACACGUCUGUGAACAUGUCUGUGAACAUCUCCACCGACGGCGUUCUUCUCUGUUCUCUGGAAUAGCGAUGGGAAUAUCAGCCCUCGUGUGAUUGGCUGGCCGUCCUGAAGUCCUUCAGCUCCGUACAGCAGGAGAACAAUCUGUCUUCUACAUAAGGCAGUCACAUAUGUUUGCUACGAACUCAGCUCUAACACACACACACACACACACACACACACACACACUCACACACACACACACACACACACACACACACACACACACACACACACACACACUCUCUCUGCUUUGAUUGGAAAUAGCUCUCUGGUAUUGUGAGUCAUACUCUGGAGCUUUUCUGCGCUACAGUCACACUGUGAGGAAAAAAGAGAACGAGGCUGAGAGAGGAGAGAGGAUCUGGAUUCAGGAGAGUCAGGAGAGUCAGGAGAGUCCGUUUCUCAGAGUCAGUAAGAGAGGAGCGGUUUCUGACCGCCGUCUGUGAACGCUCGAGUCUGGCGUCUUUGGACGAAUCAGGCGUGUUUGUAUUAGGAUGUUUAAGUGUCAGCAGACUCAUGCGUUUGUUUUUAAAAGUGACUUUAAUUUUCACUGUUUCCUCCUCAUCUUGUGAAGUCUCUGCUCGGUGUCACAUGGUUUUGGACCCCUUACAGGGUUUCACACUAACUUUGUUCACAUGUUCUCUUAAGUUGAAAAAGUAAGGAGCACAAAGAACUUUAGGGGAUCUAUGAAAACUGAUCAAUAAUGUUUGUCUUAUUGAUCGACUUUAGUACUAUUAUUUUAAAUCAAUUUUAGGUCUUUUGGUCACAUGACAGUGAAGCUAUUGAAGGAAAACAGCCUUUUCUGAGAACAUCAACCGGUAAUUUAUUGACGGUCCCUUAUUCAACACCGACGUUGACAGUGAGGGUGUCGAGUAGAUUUAACCGCGCUGCUGUUGUUAUUCCUGGUUAUGGAGAGUGAGAAGACACCGGUAGAUCCUCAGAGAAUGUCUGUCAGAUAUCCAACCUGAAACUAACUUCACCGCCGUAUUUACAGGAGAAUAUAUCCAACCUAAAACUAACUUCACCGCCGUAUUUACAGGAAAAUAUAUCCAACCUAAAACUAACUUCACCGCCGUAUUUACAGGAAAAUAUAUCCAACCUAAAACUAACUUCACCGCCGUAUUUACAGGAAAAUAUAUCCAACCUAAAACUAACUUCACCGCCGUAUUUACAGGAAAAUAUAUCCAACCUGAAACUAACUUCACCGCCGUAUUUACAGGGAAAUAUAUCCAACCUGAAACUAACUUCACCGCCGUAUUUACAGGGAAAUAUAUCCAACCUAAAACUAACUUCACCGCCGUAUUUACAGGAAAAUAUAUCCAACCUGAAACUAACUUCACCGCCGUAUUUACAGGAAAAUAUAUCCAACCUGAAACUAACUUCACCGCCGUAUUUACAGGAAAAUAUAUCCAACCUGAAACUAACUUCACCGCCGUAUCAUCCAACCUAAAACUAACUUCACCGCCGUAUUUACAGAAAAAAAUAUCCAACCUAAAACUAACUUCACCGCCGUAUUUACAGGGAAAUAUAUCCAACCUGAAACUAACU